ACUCAUGCCUUGCAAAGAAAAUACCAUGUCAUAAAAGUGGUUUUCUUAGGGGGAAAAUCAUCUAUUAUAUUUUGAGUAUGUUGCUGAUCCCUGUGAUUUCCCCAAAUGUGUGGAACUCAACUGUAUAAUUUGUGUUAAUGGGGAUUACAUUUGUGAUUUCCCUG
RNAcentral lists this small nuclear RNA (164 nucleotides) under Pogona vitticeps (central bearded dragon). Its description in RNAcentral is "U1 spliceosomal RNA (ENSPVIG00000000357.1)". It matches the Rfam family "U1 spliceosomal RNA". From Rfam's summary of the family: U1 is a small nuclear RNA (snRNA) component of the spliceosome (involved in pre-mRNA splicing). Lineage: Eukaryota; Metazoa; Chordata; Lepidosauria; Squamata; Agamidae. The record is from RNAcentral.